This 3793-nucleotide long non-coding RNA is filed under the name Brassica rapa (field mustard). The record is from RNAcentral. Lineage: Eukaryota; Viridiplantae; Streptophyta; Magnoliopsida; Brassicales; Brassicaceae.
AGAGAGUAGUACUAGGAUGGGUGACCUCCCGGGAAGUCCUCGUGUUGCACCCCUUUUUAUUUUUUAAUUUUUUUUUAGCCUAAAACGAGUCUAAACUUGAAAACCUCAUAACUUUUGAACCGUGAGGAACUACGUCGCCCAUAGCACCAUUUCGGAGAGCCCCAGAAACCAUAAUGGGCGGUGAAUAGGGGGCGCAAUUUUUCGGGCUCAAAUUCAGCCGUUUUGACCCUCAAACGGGCUGCGGAAAGUUAUGGCACGUAAAAAAGAUCGAAAGCGGAUUCUCAAGGUGUUUUUGAUGCUUUCUUAACGCCGUUAACCUCGAUGCACUUUUUCGCUCGAAACAAAACGGCAAAAAAAAUCAUGUGGGCCCCACGGCCUUACACUUGGAUUGGCCGCGAAAAGGAUAUAUAGAAACGAGAGUGAUGUACUGACGGGUGCGAUCAUACCAGCACUAAUGCACCGGAUCCCAUCAGAACUCCGCAGUUAAGCGUGCUUGGGCGAGAGUAGUACUAGGAUGGGUGACCUCCCGGGAAGUCCUCGUGUUGCACCCCUUUUUAUUUUUUAAUUUUUUUUUUUGCCUAAAACGAGUCUAAACUUGAAAACCUCAUAACUUUUGAACCGUGAGGAACUACGUCGCCCAUAGCACCAUUUCGGAAAGCCCCAGAAACCAUAAUGGGCGGUGAAUAGGGGGCGCAAUUUUUCGGGCUCAAAUUCAGCCGUUUUGACCCUCAAACGGGCUGCGGAAAGUUAUGGCACGUAAAAAAGAUCGAAAGCGGAUUCUCAAGGUGUUUUGAUGCUUUCUUAACGCCGUUAACCUCGAUGCACUUUUUCGCUCGAAACAAAACGGCAAGAAAAUCAUGCGCGCCCCACGGCCUUACACUUGGAUUGGCCGCGAAAAGGAUAUAUAGAAACGAGAGUGAUGUACUGACGGGUGCGAUCAUACCAGCACUAAUGCACCGGAUCCCAUCAGAACUCCGCAGUUAAGCGUGCUUGGGCGAGAGUAGUACUAGGAUGGGUGACCUCCCGGGAAGUCCUUGUGUUGCACCCCUUUUAAUUUUUUAAUUUUUUUUUAGCCUAAAACGAGUCUAAACUUGAAAACCUCAUAACUUUUGAACCGUGAGGAACUACGUCGCCCAUAGCACCAUUUCGGAGAGCCCCAGAAACCAUAAUGGGCGGUGAAUAGGGGCGCAAUUUUUCGGGCUCAAAUUCAGCCGUUUUGACCCUCAAACGGGCUGCGGAAAGUUAUGGCACGUAAAAAAGAUCGAAAGCGGAUUCUCAAGGUGCUUUUGAUGCUUUCUUAACGCCGUUAACCUCGAUGCACUUUUUCGCUCGAAACAAAACGGCAAGAAAAUCAUGCGCGCCCCACGGCCUUACACUUGGAUUGGCCGCGAAAAGGAUAUAUAGAAACGAGAGUGAUGUACUGACGGGUGCGAUCAUACCAGCACUAAUGCACCGGAUCCCAUCAGAACUCCGCAGUUAAGCGUGCUUGGGCGAGAGUAGUACUAGGAUGGGUGACCUCCCGGGAAGUCCUCGUGUUGCACCCCUUUUAUUUUUUAAUUUUUUUUUGCCUAAAACGAGUCUAAACUUGAAAACCUCAUAACUUUUGAACCGUGAGGAACUACGUCGCCCAUAGCACCAUUUCGGAGAGCCCCAGAAACCAUAAUGGGCGGUGAAUAGGGGGCGCAAUUUUUCGGGCUCAAAUUCAGCCGUUUUGACCCUCAAACGGGCUGCGGGGAAAGUUAUGGCACGUAAAAAAGAUCGAAAGCGGAUUCUCAAGGUGCUUUUGAUGCUUUCUUAACGCCGUUAACCUCGAUGCACUUUUUCGCUCGAAACAAAACGGCAAGAAAAUCAUGCGCGCCCCACGGCCUUACACUUGGAUUGGCCGCGAAAAGGAUAUAUAGAAACGAGAGUGAUGUACUGACGGGUGCGAUCAUACCAGCACUAAUGCACCGGAUCCCAUCAGAACUCCGCAGUAAGCGUGCUUGGGCGAGAGUAGUACUAGGAUGGGUGACCUCCCGGGAAGUCCUCGUGUUGCACCCCUUUUUAUUUUUUAAUUUUUUUUUAGCCUAAAACGAGUCUAAACUUGAAAACCUCAUAACUUUUGAACCGUGAGGAACUACGUCGCCCAUAGCACCAUUUCGGAAAGCCCCAGAAACCAUAAUGGGCGGUGAAUAGGGGGCGCAAUUUUUCGGGCUCAAAUUCAGCCGUUUUGACCCUCAGACGGGCUGCGGAAAGUUAUGGCACGUAAAAAAGAUCGAAAGCGGAUUCUCAAGUGUUUUGUGUGCUUUCUUAACGCCGUUAACCUCGAUGCACUUUUUCGCUCGAAACAAAACGGCAAGAAAAUCAUGCGCGCCCCACGGCCUUACACUUGGAUUGGCCGCGAAAAGGAUAUAUAGAAACGAGAGUGAUGUACUGACGGGUGCGAUCAUACCAGCACUAAUGCACCGGAUCCCAUCAGAACUCCGCAGUUAAGCGUGCUUGGGCGAGAGUAGUACUAGGAUGGGUGACCUCCCGGGAAGUCCUCGUGUUGCACCCCUUUUUUUUUUUAAUUUUUUUUUAGCCUAAAACGAGUCUAAACUUGAAAACCUCAUAACUUUUGAACCGUGAGGAACUACGUCGCCCAUAGCACCAUUUCGGAAAGCCCCAGAAACCAUAAUGGGCGGUGAAUAGGGGGCGCAAUUUUUCGGGCUCAAAUUCAGCCGUUUUGACCCUCAAACGGGCUGCGGAAAGUUAUGGCACGUAAAAAAGAUCGAACUAUGGAUUCUGAAGGUGUUUUUGAUGCUUUCUUAACGCCGUUAACCUCGAUGCACUUUUUCGCUCGAAACAAAACGGCAAGAAAAUCAUGCGCGCCCCACGGCCUUACACUUGGAUUGGCCGCGAAAAGGAUAUAUAGAAACAAGAGUGAUGUACUGUCGGGUGCGAUCAUACCAGCACUAAUGCACCGGAUCCCAUCAGAACUCCGCAGUUAAGCGUGCUUGGGCGAGAGUAGUACUAGGAUGGGUGACCUCCCGGGAAGUCCUCGUGUUGCACCCCUUUUUUUUUUUAAUUUUUUUUUGCCUAAAACGAGUCUAAACUGAAAACCCAUAACUUUUGAACCGUGAGGAACUACGUCGCCCAUAGCACCAUUUCGGAAGAGCCCCAGAAACCAUAAUGGGCGGUGAAUAGGGGGCGCAAUUUUUCGGGCUCAAAUUCAGCCGUUUUGACCCUCAAACGGGCUGCGGAAAGUUAUGGCACGUAAAAAAGAUCGAAAGCGGAUUCUCAAGGUGUUUUUGAUGCUUUCUUAACGCCGUUAACCUCGAUGCACUUUUUUUCGCUCGAAACAAAACGGCAAGAAAAUCAUGCGCGCCCCACGGCCUUACACUUGGAUUGGCCGCGAAAAGGAUAUAUAGAAACGAGAGUGAUGUACUGACGGGUGCGAUCAUACCAGCACUAAUGCACCGGAUCCCAUCAGAACUCCGCAGUCAAGCGUGCUUGGGCGAGAGUAGUACUAGGAUGGGUGACCUCCCGGGAAGUCCUCGUGUUGCACCCCUUUUUAUUUUUUUAAUUUUUUUUUAGCCUAAAACGAGUCUAAACUUGAAAACCUCAUAACUUUUGAACCGUGAGGAACUACGUCGCCCAUAGCACCAUUUCGGAGAGCCCCAGAAACCAUAAUGGGCGGUGAAUAGGGGGCGCAAUUUUUCGGGCUCAAAUUCAGCCGUUUUGACCCUCAAACGGGCUGCGGAAAGUUAUGGCACGUAAAAAAGAUCGAAAGCGGAUUCUCAAGUGUUUUUGAUGCUUUCUUAACGCCGUUAAC